This 384-nucleotide ribosomal RNA is filed under the name uncultured bacterium. RNAcentral's name for it is "bacterial SSU rRNA". It matches the Rfam family "Bacterial small subunit ribosomal RNA", at positions 329 to 710 of the family's 1533-position model. The record is from RNAcentral.
CUCCAGACUCCUACGGGAGGCAGCAGUGAGGAAUAUUGGUCAAUGGCUGCAGGGCUGAACCAGCCAAGUCGCGUGAGGGAUGACGGCCCUACGGGUUGUAAACCUCUUUUGCCGGGGAGCAAAGAGCGGGACGCGUCCCGCCUCGAGAGUACCCGGAGAAAAAGCAUCGGCUAACUCCGUGCCAGCAGCCGCGGUAAUACGGAGGAUGCGAGCGUUAUCCGGAUUUAUUGGGUUUAAAGGGAGCGUAGAUGGGUUGUGAAGUCAGUUGUGAAAGUUUGCGGCGCAACCGUAAAAUUGCAAUUGAUACUGGCAGUCUUGAGUACAGUUGAGGUAUGCGGAAUGCGUGGUGUAGCGGUGAAAUGCAUAGAUAUCACGCAGAACUCC